CCGGGAUGCGUUGUUUGUGGAAAUUAAAAUGAAUUUAAUUUUAUUUUAUUUGCAGGUUUAUAUUUUGUUGGUAAUGGAGUGUCGGCAAUCAAUUGAUUCACUGGAUGUUGCGUUGGGAUGUCUUCUGGCUGCUUGCUUAGUUGCUGACAUAUGUACAUUUAUUAUGUACAUACAGUUAAUUUCGUACACCAUAUGUGUUUUAUUUAUUUAAUUGGCAGGUUUUGUCUUCAGCUUUGUAAUAAUUUGUAUGUAAUUUUGUGUAGUUUAUGUUGUUAUAUUUGUUGGCUCUUUUUUUUUUUUUUAGUUGUUUUAUUUUUUUAGGUUUGCGGCAGAUUUGGUAAGUGUUUUAAAUUGUAUUUUGGCUGAAUUUAAUUUUAUUAUAUUUGCAGGUUUGGUAAUAGAGUGUAAGCAGUCAAGUUAGGUAAUUUAUGUUGUUAUAUUUGUUGACUUUUAAUGAGUAUAGUGUUUUAUUUUCAGGUUUAAAGAAAAUUGGUGUGAAAAAGAAAAAGUGAUUUUAAUUGUUUUUACGCCAAUUGAAAUCUUAUUUAUAUCUGCAGUUUUAUUUUUUGCUGGUUUGAUGGUAAGGUGUCAGCAAUCAAGGUAAGUAGUUUAUUGUUUUAUUUGUUGGCUUUUGAUGACUGAUGUUUGUUUUAUUUUCACUGGCUGUUGCGCUUGAUGUCUACAACUUGUUUGCGUAUUUACUGACAUUGAUUGUUAUGUAAAUAGUUAUUUUGUACGCCAAUACAUGAUAGAUUUGGUGGGUAGUUUAUUGGCUUUUAAUGAUUUUUUGUGAUGAUUUUAACUUUAUUUAUUUACAUUUCAGGUGGUAAGGUGUCAGUAAUCAAGGACCAGCUUAGAAUUUGUCGAGCAAAGUUGGGGGAUUCCAUGUAUGACGUGAGGGGCCUUCACCACAUUUUGAUGCAGCUUUAUUCCAGUGCCAAUGUUAUUUCAAGCGUGUCUCUUGGAAAGGCUGUUGCUCCUGAUGUCUACAAAUUGUUUGAGUUUUUCUAUUUUCAGAUUCAUGAUAAAUUUGGUGGUAAGGUGUCAGUAAUCAAGGACCAGCUUAGAAUUUGUCGAGCAAAGUUGGGUGAUUCCAUGUAUGGCGUGAGGGGCCUUCGCCACAUUUUGAUGCAGCUUUAUUCCAGUGCCAAUGUUAUUUCAAGCGUGUCUCUUGGAAAGGCUGUUGCUCCUGAUGUCUACAAAUUGUUUUUCUAUUUUCAGAUUCAUGAUAAAUUUGGUGUCAAUAAUCAAGGACCAGCUUAGGAUUUGUCGAGCAAAGUUGGGUGAUUCCAUGCAUCCUGUUUGACCCUUGUUUCGAUGACCAUGCAUUCCAAAAGGCUACCCUUAACGUAUUGGAAUUGUUGUUGUUGCUGCUGUUGUUUGUGUGCAUGAAUUAAGUUUGUAUUGGCUGGU
Long non-coding RNA from Drosophila miranda, 1413 nucleotides. RefSeq lists it as uncharacterized. The transcript has 7 exons. The record is from RefSeq and is a predicted model, not a curated record. NCBI's taxonomy places the organism in Eukaryota, Metazoa, Arthropoda, Insecta, Diptera, Drosophilidae.